Molecule: long non-coding RNA, 146 nt
Organism: Lytechinus variegatus (green sea urchin)
Lineage: Eukaryota; Metazoa; Echinodermata; Echinoidea; Temnopleuroida; Toxopneustidae
Exons: 2
Source: RefSeq, a predicted model, not a curated record
GUUAGGCAGGAUACAUGAAGACUUAAGGCAGAAGACAAACCAAGCAGCUGAUCUUAGAGACUCAAAUUCAAGAGGGUACGAACAAGUGGAUUUAAAACAACUUUCAGAUAACGGUGCCGGAUUACAAGUACACGGAGUGCGGCAAA